Molecule: transfer RNA, 72 nt
Filed under: Candidatus Adlerbacteria bacterium
Lineage: Bacteria; Candidatus Adleribacteriota
Also listed under: 1 other name
Description: tRNA-His
Rfam family: tRNA
About the family: Transfer RNA (tRNA) molecules are approximately 80 nucleotides in length.
Source: RNAcentral
GUGCCUAUGGUGUAACGGUUAGCACUGCAGCUUGUGGAGCUGUAAGUUCCGGUUCGAAUCCGGAUAGGCACC